UUGCCCAGUAACGGCGAGUGAAGCGGCAAAAGCUCAAAUUUGAAAUCCUGCGGGAAUUGUAAUUUGAAGGUUUCGUGGUCUGAGUCGGCCGCGCCCAAGUCCAUUGGAACAUGGCGCCUGGGAGGGUGAGAGCCCCGUAUGGCGCACGCCGACUCUUUGCACCGCGGCUCCGACGAGUCGAGUUGUUUGGGAAUGCAGCUCUAAGUGGGUGGUAAAUUCCAUCUAAAGCUAAAUAUUGGCGAGAGACCGAUAGCGAACAAGUACAGUGAUGGAAAGAUGAAAAGCACUUUGAAAAGAGAGUGAAACAGCACGUGAAAUUGUUGAAAGGGAAGGGCUUGCAAGCAGACACGGUUUUACCGGGCCAGCGUCAAAUAAGGGGGAGGAAAAAGGGGGAAAGAAUGUGGCGCGUGCCUUCGGGUUCGCGUGUUAUAGCUUUCGCUAAUACCCCCAUGUUUGUUUGAGGCCUGCGAUUCUAGGACGCUGGCGUAAUGGUUGCAAGCCGCCCGUCUUGAAACACGGACCAAA
Molecule: ribosomal RNA, 525 nt
Filed under: Clavispora lusitaniae
Lineage: Eukaryota; Fungi; Ascomycota; Pichiomycetes; Serinales; Metschnikowiaceae
Description: eukaryotic LSU rRNA
Rfam family: Eukaryotic large subunit ribosomal RNA
Source: RNAcentral